This 2107-nucleotide ribosomal RNA is filed under the name Phytophthora infestans T30-4. RNAcentral's name for it is "28S ribosomal RNA". It matches the Rfam family "Eukaryotic large subunit ribosomal RNA", at positions 1 to 1732 of the family's 3401-position model. Lineage: Eukaryota; Oomycota; Peronosporomycetes; Peronosporales; Peronosporaceae. The record is from RNAcentral.
CUCUUUAGCUUGGCAUUUGAAUCGGCUUUGCUGUUGCGAAGUAGAGUGGCGGCUUCGGCUGCCGAGGGUCGAUCCAUUUGGGAAAUGUUGUGUACUUCGGUAUGCAUCUCAAUUGGACCUGAUAUCAGGCAAGAUUACCCGCUGAACUUAAGCAUAUUAAUAAGCGGAGGAAAAGAAACUAACAAGGAUUCCCCUAGUAACGGCGAGUGAAGCGGGAAGAGCUCAAGCUUAAAAUCUCCGUGCAAGUUUUGCGCGGCGAAUUGUAGUCUAUAGAGGCGUGAUCAGUGUGGGCGCUUGGGGCAAGUUCCUUGGAAGAGGACAGCAUGGAGGGUGAUACUCCCGUUCAUCCCUGAGUUGCUCGUGCGUACGAUCCGUUUUCUUUGAGUCGCGUUGUUUGGGAAUGCAGCGCAAAGUAGGUGGUAAAUUCCAUCUAAAGCUAAAUAUUGGUGCGAGACCGAUAGCGAACAAGUACCGUGAGGGAAAGAUGAAAAGAACUUUGAAAAGAGAGUUAAAGAGUACCUGAAACUGCUGAAAGGGAACCGAAUCGUUUCCAGUGUCUAUAAUCCGUGGUAUAUUUCAUUGGCGAGUGUGUGCGUGCGUGUGCUGUGGCAGCGGCUUUUUUGGCUGCGCUCGGCGUGUGUGCUGUGUGUGCUUGCUGGUGCCCUGUGCUGCGGUGGGACGUCAAGGUCAGUUCGUAUGCUGCGGGAAAUGGCCGCCGAGGAGGUAGGGCUUACGCUUGCGUUUGUCUGUUAUAUCUUGGUGGACGAGUAGUCGCGGUUGGGACUGAGGUGCCUACAACGUGUUUUUGAGUGGGCCUGUGUCUCUGUGUGCGCCGUGUGCGGAUAGCUUUGCUAUGCGUGUGUGGGUUGUGUGUGGAUUGAUGUGGGUUUUAACUUGUUGCCGUUCGGGACGUUGACGAAAUGGAGCGAUUUGACCCGUCUUGAAACACGGACCAAGGAGUCUAACAUGUGUGCAAGUGUUAGGGUGUGGAAACCCCAGCGCGAAAUGAAAGUGAAGGGCAGCGUAAGUUGUCUGAGGUAGGAAAUGCUGCGGGCUUCGGUCUGCGGUGUGGCACUAUCGACCGAUCAUGAACCUUCGUGGUGAAAGAUUUGAGUUUGAGCACAUAUGUUGGUACCCGAAAGAUGGUGAACUAUGCCUGAGUAGGGUGAAGCCAGGGGAAACUCUGGUGGAAGCUCGUAGCGAUUCUGACGUGCAAAUCGAUCGUCAAACUUGGGUAUAGGGGCGAAAGACUAAUCGAACCAUCUAGUAGCUGGUUCCCUUCCGAAAUUUCCCUCAGGAUAGCAGCAACUUAUUUACGAUAGUUUUUAUGAGGUAAAGCGAAUGAUUAGAGGAUUCGGGGAAGAAACUUCCUCGACCUAUUCUCAAACUUUAAAUCUGUAAGACCUGCAGGUUUCUUAAUUGAACUUGUGGAUGUGAAUAUCAAGUUGCUAGUGGGCCAUACGGGGUAAGCUCGUCUGGCGAUGCGGGAUGAACCGAACGCAAAGUUAAAGUGCCAAAAUGCUCGCUCACCUAGAUACCAUAAAAGGUGUUGGUUCAUUUAGACAGCAGGACGGUGGCCAUGGAAGUCGGAAUCCGCUAAGGAGUGUGUAACAACUCACCUGCCGAAUGAACUAGCCCUGAAAAUGGAUGGCGCUAAAGCGGGCUACUUAUACUUUGCCGUUAGCGCGAUAGCAUUUAUAAUGUACGCGUUAAUGAGUAGGAGGGCGUGAAGGUCGUGAAGAAGCUCGUGGCGUGAGCCUGAGUGAAACGGCCUUUAGUGCAGAUCUUGGUGGUAGUAGCAAAUAUUCAAAUGCGAACUUUGAAGACUGAAGUGGAGAAAGGUUCCGUGUGAUCAGUAAUUGGACACGGGUGAGUCGAUCCUAAGAGAUAGGAUAAUUCCGUUUGAAAGCUGGGCUGUUUGAGGCGUGGGGUUCGUCCUUGCGUUUUGUAUGCAGCCUCGUGUAUCGAAAGGGAAUCAGGUUAAUAUUCCUGAACCGAGACGUGGAUAAUAUGUGGUAACACAACCGACCCAGGAGACGCUAGCGUGUGCCCAGGGAAGAGUUCUCUUGUUCUUUUUAACAAGCAUAUCCUACCUUGGAAACGGAUU